GAACCCUGAUGGCAGCGCCGCCGCGUGAACGGAAGAAGGUCUUCGGAUCGUAAACUUCUGUCGUCAGGGAAGAAGGUGCGGACGGUACCUGACUAGCACCCCGCCGCUAACUACCUGCCAACACCCGCGUAAAUUCGUGCCAGCAGCCGCGGUAAUAA
This 158-nucleotide ribosomal RNA is filed under the name uncultured Bacillus sp. Its description in RNAcentral is "partial 16S ribosomal RNA". Lineage: Bacteria; Bacillati; Bacillota; Bacilli; Caryophanales; Bacillaceae. The record is from RNAcentral.